Molecule: long non-coding RNA, 463 nt
Organism: Cololabis saira (Pacific saury)
Lineage: Eukaryota; Metazoa; Chordata; Actinopteri; Beloniformes; Belonidae
Exons: 4
Source: RefSeq, a predicted model, not a curated record
CUUUAUAAAGAAGCAAGAAUUUGACACUGACUACACCCAGAGAUCCACAUCAUUCAUUGAUCUGGCUUUGGUCAACUCUGAUCUCUUUGUCAGUCUUUUUGGGGCUCUAACAGUCACUCUAUUGAAAGGAUGAAGUGCCUUGCAAUUUUUCUGGGAGUGGCCCUGGUCAUUUUCCUGGCUGAACCCGGAGAGGGUAGAUUUCGAUUUCGAUUUCGGCCAAGAUUUCCUUCACGCGGGACCUGGGGCAGGAUUGGGAGUGGAGCCGCAAGGAUUGGGUCUAACGUGGCAGCUGACCUCACAUCAGGUCUCAUCCUGAACAAAAUACAACAGAAUCAGCAACAGCAACAACCACCUUAUGGCUAUGUUCAAGAGUAGGGACUGAGAACUCUGAUAUACAGUUUAAGCUGUAUUUAAUAUGUUGAUGAAUAAAAUUCACAUCUAAAGCAUAAAGAACUGCUCUUUA